Molecule: non-coding RNA, 184 nt
Organism: Camellia sinensis
Lineage: Eukaryota; Viridiplantae; Streptophyta; Magnoliopsida; Ericales; Theaceae
Source: RefSeq, a predicted model, not a curated record
AUGCAAUUCUCAGAGAUGGUGAUACUGCAAAUAAUGUCAUUGACAGCUUCAUAGAAAUGCUUGAGAUUGAGCAACAAGUCAAGAAGCCAGAAAAGAAUAAAUCAUUCUUUUUCUCAAGCCUUUGUUGGUCUUUAGUGAAAUGGGGUUAUGGGGAGCUGAGAAAUCAUUUAAUUGAUAAAGUCCU